Long non-coding RNA from Oxyura jamaicensis (ruddy duck), 1106 nucleotides. RefSeq lists it as uncharacterized. Lineage: Eukaryota; Metazoa; Chordata; Aves; Anseriformes; Anatidae. The transcript is spliced from 5 exons. The record is from RefSeq and is a predicted model, not a curated record.
AAGGGAGAGCUGAUGUUUUCUCCUCACAUGGAAAAACUGCAGUCUGCACUCUUCUGUGAUGCUGUGCCAGACACAUGGACUAAGCUAGCACCCAUCCACAUACAGCCUUGCCCACUGGGUGACUGAUCUUCUGUGGUAUGGAGAACUUAAUGUCUGGACACAGGACCUUGUACUGCCAGCAGUGGUGGGGCUUUCUGGCUUAUUCAGUCCUCAGUCCUUUCUGACAGCUGUUUAGCAGAGCAUGGCAAGAACAACUUGUCUUUGGAUAAGGUCUGCUUGACGGGAGAUGUUACCAAAAAGACCAAAGAAGAUUACGGUCACAGGGAAGAAGCCUAUAUCUGCCAGCUCUUCAUAGAAAAUUAUAGUAGUUACAGGUAUUUGGGGUAACAUACCAGAAAACGAGGAAAUAAUUGAGAAUCCUGUAUUAGCAUGAGGUGCCAGGUGGGACAUCCCACUGGAGACCGUAGCUGAAGUCCAGCUUCAGGAAUUGACUCCAGCAAUGCUAGUCAUUUUUGUAAGAACUAUUCCACUGGAUCAAAGGAAAACUAAGGAUGUUUAUGAAUGUCCAAUUUAUAAAAGCAAAAACAUUUGGACUUCUAAACUGAGAAGCAAAGAGAAGCCAGCUAAAUGGGUUCUGGCAGGUGUAGCUUUACUCUUGGCUUUUUAGGACUAAGCUUUCAAUAGUACAUGCUGCUUUCUCAAUCUGUCUUGUAGUUAAAGCAAAAGGAGAUAAACAUUUUUCACAGUCAGCUAGAGCACAUUUGCCUCACAAAAAAACAUUCCUUAGUAUGACAGUUAGGUGCUAUAUUUCCUAAUCCUUCAAGUGUGGUGUUCAUAUGCUUUUCUAUAUAAUUAUUAUUGAUCUACAAACAUUCCUUCAUUACACUGGUUAUGGGAAAGCAAAUGCAAAACAUUGUAUCAGCUGAGUGCAGUUUCACUCAUAAAAUGUUCCUCUUGAUUAUUCUUUAUUGUCUCUACAUAAAAUGAAAUAUGUAUCUUACAUAAAUUUUAGCAUAAUCAUACAAUACAAACAUAUUGCUUAAAGUUGUUUGAAAGCUUAGUUGCACAAAUGAAAAAAAGAUCUAACUAUGAACUGUAUUUCAAAA